UUUCCUUUCCUUUGUCCCUUGAUUCUCAAUGUAAAUCCCUCUCAAUUGCUCCAAUUCUAUCCAUUCUUACACUUUCAAUGCCUCUUCUGGUCUCCAACAAUACUCUUCGCCAUCAACAGUGACGCGGUCUCGAUAAUUUACCUUCUCCUUGUCGACAUGCCCACUUUCUGAAUCUAGCCAUUUCAGCUGCGACAAUUAUGCGAGUAGAAGAGAAGUCUUCCUCGAUGCUAGGUGUUUUCCAUUUCAUGAGCGAUUGUGCCUUCCGCUUCCUCUCCCAUGAACGAUGCCGCCUCCCCAUUCAGGUGUCUUGUAAUCUCGCG
RNAcentral lists this long non-coding RNA (320 nucleotides) under Manihot esculenta (cassava). Its description in RNAcentral is "long non-coding RNA (MESC_LNC001851)". The record is from RNAcentral. Lineage: Eukaryota; Viridiplantae; Streptophyta; Magnoliopsida; Malpighiales; Euphorbiaceae.